AAAGUAGACCGACUCUUGCCGCCCGUCUCGUUUCGUUUGGGAAUUUCGUCGAACAGGUGGAGGGGGUGGAGAUAUGUAGAUGGAGACGCGGCGGAGCUCGGUGGAGACGCGGUGGAGAUGCAGCGGCUUCGGUGGAGACGCGGCGCAGAUGCGGCGGCUUCGGUGGAGAUGCGGAGGUGCUCAGCGGAGCUUGGUGAAGACGCGGAGG
RNAcentral lists this long non-coding RNA (208 nucleotides) under Ananas comosus (pineapple). RNAcentral's name for it is "long non-coding RNA (ACOM_LNC016838)". Lineage: Eukaryota; Viridiplantae; Streptophyta; Magnoliopsida; Poales; Bromeliaceae. The record is from RNAcentral.